GCCUUAUGCCAUAUGGUCUGGCCGAUAUGUUGUUGCCUUGCGUGUGUGCAUAUGUGCAUGUUGGAGUGGUGAUGCGUGUGCAAGGGUUGAGUGGAUGAAGACUGGGAGCGGGAUAGGGUUGAAAUAGCCUGGGGAAAUAACCCUGGCCGGUAAGUCGCAGAGCAAGUAACUCACAUAAAAUUUCAAAUAAGGCAAGUGCAAUGCACUUUGACACUCUGUAGGAAGAGAGAGAUCCGUGUGUCUUGGGAGGGGAAGUGAUGGUGUGGCCCUUGAAGAUGAGGGUGGAGGAAGGAGGGGAAUGAGGGAAACCUGAUGGUAGGGGAAAUGAUGGCCUUUAUACAGGAUGCUGUAGUGUACCACCCAUAUACCCACUUUAGGACUGGGAAUUUUGGUGGCUAGCAGCUUAUAGCUGAGUCUUAGACCCAACUCCACAAUUAUCCUCAGCUGAGGAGAACUGCCUGUUUUAAUGUCACAUCCCCUUUCCAGGGCGUAUCCUACAUCCAAUGGCUGGUUGAUACAGAGGUUAAAAGGCCUGAUACCCCUGUCCUAAUUUGAGAGAGCUUGGCGGGAUCAUCCCAGAUCCUGAGCCCCCAGUGGGACUGUCUGAGGCCUUUGUACUUGCAUCACAGUCUUCUGGUGGAUUAUUUGUUCUCUCUCCCAGGUGCUGAUCCUGACAGCAUCAUGUCCAGGUAUGAGCCCUGGCUGUAUAUUCUCUCAGCAAAGGCUCUGCAACUGCCGGUUCCUGGAUGUGGGAGAGAGUUCCUUCCAGGUUUCUAUGAUCAGGCUCAUGAAGAAAUAACACCAGGAAAAUCUGCUCUCUCUUAAUAUGUGCAAACAAAUUCAGAAAUGACAUAUUUCAAAGGUAGGUCAUAUCUGAUUUAACAUGCUUCUGGAUUCCACCUAAGAAGUCAUUCCUUGCCUUGUUUCCUCUGCUUCCUCCUUCCCCAGGGCCUGCCAAGGAGCUUUACCUUGUGAAGUGAUGAAUGCAUAUGGGCCACUCACUCUAGCAGUGAUUCUAUUUUUGAAGGGCAAUGAAGUCACGUUUAAGAAUGAGUUUCAUUUAUGAUUAUGCUUGUGGGCAAACUCAGGUAGGAGUUGAUAUUGAUGGUGAACCAUAUGAAAUUUUCAGUUACCAGAAAAUGAAAAAGUUUUGUGAGAAAUGAAGUGUGUCUUUGAAUGAAUGCCACUAAGAAUGUUGUCAGAGGUGACAGGAGGUAUGAAAGUCACCUUCCUUCUUGGCCAUUGGGGAAGACUGAGGCUCAGGAGGCUUUGCUAGGGUCAGUUGUGAACUGAUGUCAGGAGCCAGGAUUAUUGUAUAACUCAGUCCAUUCAUUCCUUUUUUCCAUGCUGAGAGAGUUUUGCUACCUGCAUGAUGUGAAAACACUCAGUAACCUCUGAGGAUCUUCAAAACAUAUCGAUCUAUUUGAUGCUGCAGUGUUUUUCAAUGGCACUUCUCUGUCUAGUUUGUUCUUCUGCCCUCCUGGCAUCGUUCCUUUCUCUAUCAUACAUUUAAUUGCUGUGAUGAACUUUAAGAAUGGCUUCUGCCAAACCCUGAC
Molecule: long non-coding RNA, 1556 nt
Filed under: Callithrix jacchus (white-tufted-ear marmoset)
Lineage: Eukaryota; Metazoa; Chordata; Mammalia; Primates; Cebidae
Description: lncRNA (ENSCJAG00000077206.1)
Source: RNAcentral